GAUAAACGCUGGCGGCGUGCCUAAAACAUGCAAGUCGAACGGUCACGGGUCUUCGGACUUGUGGUAGUGGCGGACGGCUGAGUAACACGUGGGUGACCUGCCCUCGAGCGGGGGAUAACUGCCCGAAAGGGUGGCUAAUACCGCAGACAUCAUGGAUUCGAUUUCAUGAUUGAACCGAUUCAGGGUUCGAGGAGGGGCCCGCGGUCGAUUAGCUCGCUGGUGGGGUAAUGGCCACCAGGGCAUCGAUCGAUAGCUGGUCUGAGAGGAUGAUCAGCCAGACUGGGACUGCGAACGGCCCAGACUCCUACGGGAGCAGCAGUUAGGAAUUUUGGGCAAUGGGCGAAAGCCUGACCCAGCAACGCCGCGUGGGUGAUGAAGGCCCUCGGGUCGUAAAGCCCUUUUCCAGGGAAGAUGAUGACGGUACCUGGGAAUCAGCCCCGGCUAACUACGUGCCAGCAGCCGCGGUAA
RNAcentral lists this ribosomal RNA (468 nucleotides) under uncultured bacterium. Its description in RNAcentral is "bacterial SSU rRNA". It matches the Rfam family "Bacterial small subunit ribosomal RNA", at positions 28 to 523 of the family's 1533-position model. The record is from RNAcentral.